CAAGAGGGCUUAUUGGGAGUGUUUAGCUUUGUAUGGAAGGCUGAGAGAUCAAGGAAUUGCUGUGCAUCAAUGGUGGGACUAAGAAGAACAAAGAAAGCCAUAAAGAAGAGAGUAAGACUUUUCGUGUUUGAAGUUUCAGUAGCUAAAUCUUUUUAUUUGUUUACCCUUCUGAAUGAAGAAUUUCAGUAGUGGUUUUGUUGGUUUUGUGCUGCAUGAACUGUGAUGUCUCAUAUGUAGCGUUUUCAUACGAGGAUUAUGUUCCUCUCCCUUGAGACUUGUUGAUUUCACUUCUUAAUUUAUGAGAAUAAAAUCACAUAAUUUUCUAUAUUCUUG
RNAcentral lists this unclassified non-coding RNA (333 nucleotides) under Hevea brasiliensis (rubber tree). Lineage: Eukaryota; Viridiplantae; Streptophyta; Magnoliopsida; Malpighiales; Euphorbiaceae. The record is from RNAcentral.